GUCCCUAGCAGGGGUAUGCCUCAGCUCCAUCAGGACCCUGGGGCAGGAGAGUCGGGAGGGGAGUGGAGUUGUGAGUAGGCUGUCUGAAGGUGUUGUCCCCUCUGUCUUCUGUUGCUUGUGUUUGGGCUUUUGUAGGUUUCCUUUCCUUGGAAGGGUGGAGCUCGUCCCUGUGUGUGGGCUGCUAUUGGUUCCUUUCCUUGGAAGGUUGGAGCCCUGCCCUGAGUCUGGGCUGUUGUAAGUUUCAUUUCCUUGGGAGGGAGGAGCUCUGCCCUGAGUCUUGGUCUGUGCAAAUCAAACACUCCCUUGAUCCGGGACGCUGUCCUGGCUCCCAGUUCUUUCCUCCACUAUCUCAGACUUUGUGCCUUCAUCAGGCAAUCCAGACAUCUGGUCUUUCUUCAGACUCAACUCUGAAAAGGCUUCCAGCUGUCUCCGAAUUUCCUGGAUGAAUUCUCCUCGGCGCCGAAGCUGAUCCUCAAAACUUGUGAGCUUGGUGAGGAAGACGACGAGGUCAGCAUCUGAUCGGCCCCUGAGGGUCGUGCCUUUGCCCGAGGAGCCACCCUAAGGCAGGUGAUGAGAAAGAGAACAGACAUUGAUUGUUGAGCAGAGCCUCCCUGAGCAAAAUGCUGAGCACAGUCGCUAAGAGUCUGGAGUGCUCGCCCCUGUCCUGAAGGCCUUCCCAGUCUCAACUCCUCGAAUGUGCACAAGGACCCUGGGACGCCGCUGCUCCUAAUAGCUGCUCCCAUAUCCAGAGAAGGAAACAGACGCUGAGAGAGAUGAUGUGUCAGCCCCCUCACACAGCUAGUAGGGGGCAGAGAUGCGGUUCACAGCCUGGUUGCCUUUUCCCAGGGCCUGUGUUCUGUCCUCCCUGUCUCUUUUGAUCCCAUAUCACGAGUGGGUAUGCACACUGACUGGCCCAUGCAGGGUGGGUGACACGCCUUAUUUCACUUGAUCUGCGAGCCCUAGAAGGUACUGGGACUUAUGGGUGAGGAAACUGGGACACAGGGAGGGUAAGUAAGUGAGUUGCCAGGAUUUCACAGCCGGUAGGGGCUGUCUGCCUUCCCAGCUUACGCUCCUCACCAGCUCAGGGCUGUGCAGAAAUGGUGAUUCCCAGCCCGGUCACUGG
Molecule: long non-coding RNA, 1123 nt
Filed under: Sus scrofa (pig)
Lineage: Eukaryota; Metazoa; Chordata; Mammalia; Artiodactyla; Suidae
Description: lncRNA (ENSSSCG00015033732.1)
Source: RNAcentral